This 458-nucleotide ribosomal RNA is filed under the name Klebsiella pneumoniae. RNAcentral's name for it is "partial 23S ribosomal RNA". It matches the Rfam family "Bacterial large subunit ribosomal RNA", at positions 317 to 782 of the family's 2925-position model. Lineage: Bacteria; Pseudomonadati; Pseudomonadota; Gammaproteobacteria; Enterobacterales; Enterobacteriaceae. The record is from RNAcentral.
UCAGCUUGUGUGUUAGUGGAACGGUCUGGAAAGUCCGACGGUACAGGGUGAUAGUCCCGUACACCAAAAUGCACAGGUUGUGAACUCGAAGAGUAGGGCGGGACACGUGGUAUCCUGUCUGAAUAUGGGGGGACCAUCCUCCAAGGCUAAAUACUCCUGACUGACCGAUAGUGAACCAGUACCGUGAGGGAAAGGCGAAAAGAACCCCGGCGAGGGGAGUGAAAAAGAACCUGAAACCGUGUACGUACAAGCAGUGGGAGCACCUUCGGGUGUGACUGCGUACCUUUUGUAUAAUGGGUCAGCGACUUAUAUUCUGUAGCAAGGUUAACCGUAUAGGGGAGCCGCAGGGAAACCGAGUCUUAACUGGGCGUUAAGUUGCAGGGUAUAGACCCGAAACCCGGUGAUCUAGCCAUGGGCAGGUUGAAGGUUGGGUAACACUAACUGGAGGACCGAACCGA